This 72-nucleotide transfer RNA is filed under the name Bos taurus (domestic cattle). It matches the Rfam family "tRNA". Rfam says of the family: Transfer RNA (tRNA) molecules are approximately 80 nucleotides in length. Their secondary structure includes four short double-helical elements and three loops (D, anti-codon, and T loops). Further hydrogen bonds mediate the characteristic L-shaped molecular structure. tRNAs have two regions of fundamental functional importance: the anti-codon, which is responsible for specific mRNA codon recognition, and the 3' end, to which the tRNAs corresponding amino acid is attached (by aminoacyl-tRNA synthetases). tRNAs cope with the degeneracy of the genetic code in two manners: having more than one tRNA (with a specific anti-codon) for a particular amino acid; and 'wobble' base-pairing, i.e. permitting non-standard base-pairing at the 3rd anti-codon position. The record is from Rfam by way of RNAcentral. Lineage: Eukaryota; Metazoa; Chordata; Mammalia; Artiodactyla; Bovidae. RNAcentral also lists the same sequence under 4 other names.
CCCCCUGUGGCUCAGAUGGUAAAGCAUCUGCCUGCAAUGCAGGAGACCCUGGUUCAAUCCCUGGGUUGGGAA